Molecule: long non-coding RNA, 409 nt
Filed under: Phoenix dactylifera (date palm)
Lineage: Eukaryota; Viridiplantae; Streptophyta; Magnoliopsida; Arecales; Arecaceae
Description: long non-coding RNA (PDAC_LNC016971)
Source: RNAcentral
UUCUAAAUCAUUUCUUUUCUAGAAGUUAUAUCAAUGUUACUCGUUCUUUAUCAAUGUCUCCCUGUACAACAUCAGGUCCUCGCAGGGAUCCUCAAGGCAGGACAGUGGAUGAAGCAUGCCCUGGCCCCACAUCAUCAAGGACAUUUGUUUCACCAUCGCGACCAAUGGAACCGGCACUUUUCCCAUUCUGGGAAAGUGGUCCAAUCUUUGGUGCGUCUACCUCUCCCACCGUUGGCUGGUUCCUGCCACUGAAAGCAAAAAUCUUCCCCAACCUAUUAACCACCAAUUAUAAAAUUUUCGAGGAUGAAUUAUCUCUCAUCUAAUCCAUAUUUAGACCUCCACUAUAGAUUAAAAUGUGGUAUAAACAACAACUAUCAAAUACAUUAUUUGAAUCCUUGUAUAACUCUCU